Molecule: ribosomal RNA, 462 nt
Filed under: uncultured Planctomycetota bacterium
Lineage: Bacteria; Pseudomonadati; Planctomycetota
Description: bacterial SSU rRNA
Rfam family: Bacterial small subunit ribosomal RNA
Source: RNAcentral
AAGGGUGACGAAGCGACGCCGCGUGUGGGAAGAAGGCCUUCGGGUUGUAAACCACUGUCGGGAGUUAGGAAAUGCAGGUGCGUUAAUAGCGCACUUGCUUGACUAAGGCUCCAGAGGAAGCCACGGCUAACUCUGUGCCAGCAGCCGCGGUAAUACAGAGGCGGCAAGCGUUGUUCGGAACUAUUGGGCGUAAAGAGCACGUAGGCGGCCUUGCAAGUCAGUUGUGAAAGCCUUCCGCUUAACGGAAGAACGGCAUCUGAUACUACAGGGCUUGAGUACGGGAGGGGAGAGUGGAACUUCUGGUGGAGCGGUGAAAUGCGUAGAUAUCAGAAGGAACGCCGGCGGCGAAAGCGACUCUCUGGUCCGAAACUGACGCUGAGUGUGCGAAAGCUAGGGGAGCAAACGGGAUUAGAUACCCCGGUAGUCCUAGCCGUAAACGAUGGGCACUAAGUAGAGGGAAUC